GAUGAACGCUAGCUACAGGCUUAACACAUGCAAGUCGAGGGGCAGCACAGUGUAGCAAUACAGUGGGUGGCGACCGGCGCACGGGUGCGUAACGCGUAUCCAACCUUCCCGUUACUCAGGGAUAGCCUUCCGAAAGGGAGAUUAAUACCUGAUGGUGUUGAAAUUUCGCAUGUUAUUUCAACUAAAGAUUUAUCGGUAACGGAUGGGGAUGCGUGACAUUAGGUAGAUGGCGGGGUAACGGCCCACCAUGCCUACGAUGUCUAGGGGUUCUGAGAGGAAGGUCCCCCACACUGGAACUGAGACACGGUCCAGACUCCUACGGGAGGCAGCAGUGAGGAAUAUUGGUCAAUGGGCGCAAGCCUGAACCAGCCAAGUAGCGUGAAGGAUGACUGCCCUAUGGGUUGUAAACUUCUUUUAUACGGGAACAAAUGUGGGUACGUGUACCUAUUUGCGUGUACCGUAUGAAUAAGCAUCGGCUAACUCCGUG
RNAcentral lists this ribosomal RNA (487 nucleotides) under uncultured bacterium. RNAcentral's name for it is "bacterial SSU rRNA". It matches the Rfam family "Bacterial small subunit ribosomal RNA", at positions 28 to 507 of the family's 1533-position model. The record is from RNAcentral.